This 340-nucleotide ribosomal RNA is filed under the name Patescibacteria group bacterium. RNAcentral describes it as "bacterial SSU rRNA". It matches the Rfam family "Bacterial small subunit ribosomal RNA", at positions 1 to 362 of the family's 1533-position model. The record is from RNAcentral.
UUUUAGUAGAGUUUGAUCCUAGCUCAGGAUGAACGCUGGCGGCGUGGAUAAGGCAUGCAAGUCGAACGAUCCGUGUGUUUACAUACGGAGAGUGGCAAACGGGGUAGUAACAGGUAGGAACAUACCCAUGAGUCGUGAAUAACUGCGAGAAAUCGUAGCUAAUACACGAUAUCCCUACGGGGGAAAGAUUUAUCGCUCAUGGAAUGGCCUGCUUCAUAUCAGCUUGUUGGUAGGGUAACGGCCUACCAAGGCAAUGACGUGUAGGGGAGGUGAGAGCCUGACCCCCACCAUUGGGACUGCGACACGGCCCAAACUCCUACGGGAGGCUGCAGUCGAGAAU